AAGCAGUGUGACCUGAACCGUCGAAGCCAUGGGCAAGCCUCCAAUGCUGACUUCAUAACGAAGGAAGGCUACAUUUAUCGAAACGUGUUGAACCACUGUGAAAGUAGCCCAUGUCCUGUAAAUGCACAGUGUCAAGUUGGUUUCACUAC
Molecule: long non-coding RNA, 149 nt
Organism: Stylophora pistillata
Lineage: Eukaryota; Metazoa; Cnidaria; Anthozoa; Scleractinia; Pocilloporidae
Source: RefSeq, a predicted model, not a curated record